RNAcentral lists this transfer RNA (68 nucleotides) under Odoiporus longicollis (banana stem weevil). Its description in RNAcentral is "tRNA-Trp". The record is from RNAcentral. Lineage: Eukaryota; Metazoa; Arthropoda; Insecta; Coleoptera; Curculionidae.
AAGAAUUUAAGUUAAAUUAAACUCUUAGCCUUCAAAGCUAAUCAUAGACUAUCUAUGUCUAAUUCUUA